CCGGGCGUGCCAUUUUGUCUGCCACCACGAAUGACGCACCUCGCACGGGAAAUUUUUAUCUUUAUUUUCCCGUGCGGUAGUAUUCAUGAUGUAGAUUAAAGUAUGUGUAUGUAUGGAUAUCAGGUAUUGCGGAUCCAUGGCUUCCAAUAAACACAAGCAUUUAUUGUUAAUUACCCCUACAAAGUGUUAGGGCACCUUCGAUUAAGAGACCUCUGAAAUGCUGAAUAUAAACUGGAAUUGGACAAAAGGAAAUUUAUAAUUUAUUGCUCAAUUACAUGGCUUUAACCAAGGGCAUACCCUCAGUGUACAUGAAUAGAGCGUAAAGAAAAUGUAUUUUUCAAUUGUAUCUUAGUUAUAUAUUCUAAGAUGCCCAAUAUAUGGUCAAAUUAAUUUUGUUG
This 398-nucleotide long non-coding RNA is filed under the name Ananas comosus (pineapple). RNAcentral's name for it is "long non-coding RNA (ACOM_LNC040577)". The record is from RNAcentral. Lineage: Eukaryota; Viridiplantae; Streptophyta; Magnoliopsida; Poales; Bromeliaceae.